Molecule: long non-coding RNA, 278 nt
Organism: Hippocampus comes (tiger tail seahorse)
Lineage: Eukaryota; Metazoa; Chordata; Actinopteri; Syngnathiformes; Syngnathidae
Exons: 2
Source: RefSeq, a predicted model, not a curated record
AAUGAGCUCCCAUUGUCCCUGUCCCCAAUAGGUGCAAUGGGAAAAAAAGCUGCAGGAUCAUGGCCAGUAGAGAUGUGUUUGGGGAACCCUGUGAAGGCACCUACAAGUAUUUGGAAGUUUCUUACACGUGUCACUAUCCUGGGCAAGAUUUCUAAAGUGGUGGCAUUGAUGGCUGUUUGAGUCCAUGAUGCAACUGUCUCAAUACUCUUAAGUGAUUGGGUCAGACAUCACUGUUCAGUUUUUUUUUUUUUCCUCAAUAAAAAUACUUGGGACACAAA